Molecule: ribosomal RNA, 524 nt
Filed under: uncultured bacterium
Lineage: Bacteria
Description: partial 16S ribosomal RNA
Rfam family: Bacterial small subunit ribosomal RNA
Source: RNAcentral
GACGAACGCUGGCGGCGUGCCUAAUACAUGCAAGUCGAGCGCAGGAAACUGACGGAACUCUUCGGAGGGAAGGCAGUGGAAUGAGCGGCGGACGGGUGAGUAACACGUAAGGAACCUGCCUCAAGGAUUGGGAUAACUCCGAGAGAUCGGAGCUAAUACCGUAUAGUUCAUCGGACCGCAUGGUCCGUUGAUGAAAGGCGCUUCGGCGUCACCUUGAGAUGGCCUUGCGGUGCAUCAGCUAGUUGGUGGGGUAACGGCUCACCAAGGCGACGAUGCGUAGCCGACCUGAGAGGGUCAUCGGGCACACUAGGACUGAGACACGGCCCAGACUCCCACGGGAGGCAGCAGUAGAGAAUCUUCCACAAUGGACGAAAGUCUGAUGGGGCAACGCCGCGUGGGUGAUGAAGGUUUUCGGAUCGUAAAACGCUGUUGUAAGGGAAGAACACGUACGAGAGGGAAUGCUCGUACCGUGACGGUACCUUACGAGAAAGCCACGGCUAACUACGUGCCAGCCGCCGCAGUAA